Molecule: ribosomal RNA, 253 nt
Filed under: uncultured bacterium
Lineage: Bacteria
Description: partial 16S ribosomal RNA
Rfam family: Bacterial small subunit ribosomal RNA
Source: RNAcentral
GACAGAGGGUGCGAACGUUGCUCGGAAUGACUGGGCGUAAAGCGCGUGCAGGCGGCCAGGUAGGUCUGCUGUGAAAACUCGAGGCUCAACCUCGAGACGUCGGCGGAAACCAUCUGGCUAGAGUCCGGAAGAGGAGAGUGGAAUUCCUGGUGUAGCGGUGAAAUGCGCAGAUAUCAGGAAGAACACCCGUGGCGAAGGCGGCUCUCUGGGACGGUACUGACGCUGAGACGCGAAAGCGUGGGGAGCGAACAGG